This 490-nucleotide ribosomal RNA is filed under the name uncultured bacterium. RNAcentral's name for it is "partial 16S ribosomal RNA". It matches the Rfam family "Bacterial small subunit ribosomal RNA", at positions 30 to 507 of the family's 1533-position model. The record is from RNAcentral.
AUUGAACGCUGGCGGCAGGCCUAACACAUGCAAGUCGAACGGGAACAGGAAACAGCUUGCUGUUUCGCUGGCGGGUGGCGGACGGGUGAGGAAUGUCUGGGAAACUGCCUGAUGGAGGGGGAUAACUACUGGAAACGGUAGCUAAUACCGCAUAACGUCGCAAGACCAAAGAGGGGUACCCUCGGGCCUCUUGCCAUCGGAUGUGCCCAGAUGGGAUUAGCGUGUUGGUGGGGUAACGGCCCGCCAAGGCGACGAUCCCUAGCUGGUCUGAGAGGAUGACCAGCCACACUGGAGCUGAGACACGGUCCAGACUCCUACGGGAGGCAGCAGUGGGGAAUAUUGGACAAUGGGGGCAAGACUGAUGCAGCCAUGCCGCGUGUAUGAAGAAGGCAUUCGGGUUGUAAAGUACUUUUAGCGGGGAGGAAGGGAGUAAAGUUAAUACCUUAGCUCAUUGACGUUACCCGCAGAAGAAGCACCGGCUAACUACGUG